Molecule: ribosomal RNA, 433 nt
Filed under: uncultured bacterium
Lineage: Bacteria
Description: partial 16S ribosomal RNA
Rfam family: Bacterial small subunit ribosomal RNA
Source: RNAcentral
AACGAACGCUGGCGGCAUGCCUAACACAUGCAAGUCGAACGAGACCUUCGGGUCUAGUGGCGCACGGGUGCGUAACGCGUGGGAACCUGCCCUUAGGUUCGGAAUAACUCCCCGACAGGGGUGCCAAUACCGGAUAAUGUCUUCGGACCAAAGAUUUAUCGCCUUUGGAUGGGCCCGCGUUGGAUUAGCUAGUUGGUAGGGUAAAAGCCUACCAAGGCGACGAUCCAUAGCUGGUCUGAGAGGAUGAUCAGCCACACUGGGACUGAGACACGGCCCAGACUCCUACGGGAUGCAGCAGUGGGGAAUAGUGGAACAUGGGCGAAAGCAUGAUCCAGCUAGGCCGCGUGAGUGAUGAAGGCCUUAGGGUUGUAAAGCUCUUUUACCCGGGGUGAUAAUGACAGUACCGGGAGAAUAAGCCCCGGCUAACUCCGUG